Molecule: ribosomal RNA, 460 nt
Filed under: uncultured bacterium
Lineage: Bacteria
Description: partial 16S ribosomal RNA
Rfam family: Bacterial small subunit ribosomal RNA
Source: RNAcentral
CCUACGGGUGGCAGCAGUGAGGAAUAUUGGUCAAUGGCCGUAAGGCUGAACCAGCCAAGUAGCGUGAGGGAAGACUGCCCUAUGGGUUGUAAACCUCUUUUAUGCGGGGAUAAAGGUGUCCACGUGUGGCUGUUUGCAUGUACUGUAUGAAUAAGGAUCGGCUAAUUCCGUGCCAGCAGCCGCGGUAAUACGGAAGGUCCGGGCGUUAUCCGGAUUUAUUGGGUUUAAAGGGAGCGUAGGCGGGUCUUUAAGUGUGUCGUGAAAUUUUGUGGCUCAACCGUGAGAGUGCGACUCGUACUGGAAGCCUUGAGUACAGUGGAGGCAGGCGGAAUUCGUGGUGUAGCGGUGAAAUGCUUAGAUAUCACGAAGAACCCCGAUUGCGAAGGCAGCCUACCACAGCGUGACUGACACUGAAGCUCGAAAGCGCGGGUAUCAAACAGGAUUAGAUACCCCUGUAGUC